AUACGUAGGUGACAAGCGUUAUCCGGAUUUACUGGGCGUAAAGAGCUCGUAGGUGGUUUGUCGCGUCGUCUGUGAAAUUCCGGGGCUUAACUCCGGGCGUGCAGGCGAUACGGGCAUAACUUGAGUACUGUAGGGGAGACUGGAAUUCCUGGUGUAGCGGUGAAAUGCGCAGAUAUCAGGAGGAACACCGGUGGCGAAGGCGGGUCUCUGGGCAGUAACUGACGCGGAGGGGCGAAAGCAUGGGUAGCGAACAGGAUUAGAUACCCUGGUAGUCCAUGCUGUAAACGGUGGGCGCUAGGUGUAGGGGUCUUCCACGACUUCUGUGCCGUAGCUAACGCAUUAAGCGCCCCGCCUGGGGAGUACGGCCGCAAGGCUAAAACUCAAAUGAAUUGACGGGG
RNAcentral lists this ribosomal RNA (398 nucleotides) under uncultured bacterium. Its description in RNAcentral is "partial 16S ribosomal RNA". It matches the Rfam family "Bacterial small subunit ribosomal RNA", at positions 523 to 918 of the family's 1533-position model. The record is from RNAcentral.